UACGUAGGGUGCGAGCGUUAAUCGGAAUUACUGGGCGUAAAGCGUGCGCAGGCGGUUUUGUAAGCCAGAUGUGAAAGCCCCGGGCUUAACCUGGGAAUGGCAUUUGGGACUGCAAGGCUUGAGUGCGGCAGAGGAGACUGGAAUUCCUGGUGUAGCAGUGAAAUGCGUAGAUAUCAGGAGGAACACCAGCGGCGAAGGCGGCGCUCUGGGCCGGAACUGACGCUGAGGAGCGAAAGUGUGGGUAGCAGACAGG
This 253-nucleotide ribosomal RNA is filed under the name uncultured bacterium. Its description in RNAcentral is "partial 16S ribosomal RNA". It matches the Rfam family "Bacterial small subunit ribosomal RNA", at positions 524 to 776 of the family's 1533-position model. The record is from RNAcentral.